UACGUAGGGUGCGAGCGUUAAUCGGAAUUACUGGGCGUAAAGCGUGCGCAGGCGGUUUUGUAAGCCAGAUGUUAAAUCCCCGGGCUUAACCUGGGAAUGGCAUUUGGGACUGCAAGGCUUGAGUGCGGCAGAGGAGACUGGAAUUCCUGGUGUAGCAGUGAAAUGCGUAGAUAUCAGGAGGAAUACCGAUGGCGAAGGCAGGUCUCUGGGCUGACACUGACGCUCAUGCACGAAAGCGUGGGGAGCAAACAGG
RNAcentral lists this ribosomal RNA (253 nucleotides) under uncultured bacterium. RNAcentral's name for it is "partial 16S ribosomal RNA". It matches the Rfam family "Bacterial small subunit ribosomal RNA", at positions 524 to 776 of the family's 1533-position model. The record is from RNAcentral.